RNAcentral lists this long non-coding RNA (511 nucleotides) under Capra hircus (goat). RNAcentral's name for it is "lncRNA (ENSCHIG00010018001.1)". The record is from RNAcentral. Lineage: Eukaryota; Metazoa; Chordata; Mammalia; Artiodactyla; Bovidae.
AUGGGCAAGUGGGUCUCUAAGGCAGGUUGUCCAGGAGGAGGGUGCGGGUCCUUGGCAAGCUGCCCGGGGGGCAGGACUGGAACUGCCCUUCAUGGGUUUCAGAUCCCUUCCUUAGGUAGCGCCUCUUCGCAGCAGGAUGCUUGGCACCUGACGCGCCCUACCCCCAUCCCCCAAUUAGGAUGUGAAACUAAAACACGUGGAAAAGGAAGAGCCCAAGCUGAUUUCCCGUUUAUGAAACAAGUUCUUCCCUGGGAGAUCUUUUCAAAAAGUUCAGACGUCCCUGAGGUGACCUGGUGGGAUGGUCCGUGGAACCGGCCCCAGGAUGCUCCCCGGCUGUGGAUGACCGAGCCGCCAGCCCCCUACGGAUGCUGCGCCCCAGUCUUCUGACCCGGGGAUCCCGCCCGGUGCGGGCCUGAGCUUCCGAGCAGCCACGGCGCAGGGACCCGGGGGAAGGGGCUCGGCGCCGGCGGGAAACAUUCUCCCCCAGCGACUCGGCAAGAUGACCAGCCUG